Molecule: transfer RNA, 65 nt
Filed under: Bombyx huttoni
Lineage: Eukaryota; Metazoa; Arthropoda; Insecta; Lepidoptera; Bombycidae
Description: tRNA-Gly
Source: RNAcentral
AUUUAUAUAAUAUAUAUAGUAUAUUUGACUUCCAAUCAAAAAGUUUAAACUGUUUAAUAUAAAUA